GACGUAGGGGGCGAGCGUUGUCCGGAUUUAUUGGGCGUAAAGCGCGCGUAGGCGGCCGCGUUAGUCGGAUGUGAAAACCCGGGGCUCAACCCCGGGCCGUCAUUCGAUACUGCGUGGCUAGAGGCAGGUAGGGGAGAUCGGAAUUCCUGGAGUAGCGGUGAAAUGCGCAGAUAUCAGGAGGAACACCGGUGGCGAAGGCGGAUCUCUGGGCCUGUCCUGACGCUGAGGCGCGAAAGCUAGGGGAGCGAACAGG
This 253-nucleotide ribosomal RNA is filed under the name uncultured bacterium. RNAcentral's name for it is "partial 16S ribosomal RNA". It matches the Rfam family "Bacterial small subunit ribosomal RNA", at positions 524 to 776 of the family's 1533-position model. The record is from RNAcentral.